CUUGGUUCUGGUUCAGAAAGUCACACUCCUGACAAUAGUUCGCGUCGCACUCCGGACAAUCUACACGUUUCACACAAUUCAACAAAUCAAUCAUUGAAACACAAAUAGAACCAAAAUAAAACCAACAGCAAGAAAAUGAUUUUUAAAACUCAACAACAGAAGCUUAACAGCACCUAAAUUGCACUAUGGUCACAACGCAAAAAGAAUCACUCGAUUCCGAUAAGCGGUUUGAAAAUUACGGCCUCCGGAAGAUUUCAUUCAAAUUCAAACGAAUUCAAAUUUGAAAAGCGCAAACAUGUGCAAAGUUGGUAGUGUGAUAAAGUGUUGAUUUUUGUGAGUGCAUAGGAAAAAGAACUACCUAAAUUGGACUUAUAUAAUAAAAGAUAUAGCUAGUUGAUUUUUGGAUGAAAAUCUGUGAAAACAAAAGAAACAGAAAUCCCCUGGUUCCUGUGCGGCACUGUAGCUGCGCCUGUAGCAGUCUGCCACGUGGCAGUUUGUGAUUGGCCAAAGGCCCCUGUGCGCGUGCGUGCUCACCAGAAGCAGAGGACGGCGGCGGCUGCCUCGGGCGUCGGCGACGGCGAUUCUCCGGCGGUUCUCCGGCGAAGACGAAGGGACGGACGGGUCGGGCGUAGAGUGGCGGAGGUGGUGCUGGUGUUCAACGGCGGCGGGGCGUCAGCGGCGGUGGGGAUGGACGACAGCUGCCCCAAAGUCAAACGAACUCCAGCGACUCGGCUACCUCGCUCCCGUGCUCUGUGGCCAAAACAGGCCCGUCAAGAAGAUGCAGAAUCGAACGGGGAAUCGAACGGAGCAGGCGGUGAGGCUUGGCGCGUUCUUACGGUGACGGCAACGACCGGCGAAUGGCGGCGGUCUCAAGUUCCUCCGACGAGAUCCGUUUCGCCCUCGCUCGAGCGUGCGGCAACGAGGAAGAACGAGGAGUGGAUGCGGGGUCUCCCUGGGUCUUCUGCUUGCACACGGCGACUCGGGAGCGCUCGAGGUGGACCAAGGACGCGAGGUGAACCGGCUCGGCCUCGGCGUGCGUGCGGUGCGCGCGUGUGGUGUCCGGCUCGGGAGGGACGAACAGGGGCGCGAGUGGGUCCCGCUGUUAGCGGCUGGAGCGAUGCGGGUCGGGCACGGGCAGCGCUGCUGCGUAUCACUUCGCGGGAAGUGGGCUGCGGGUCAGGUGCGGGUCCCCCCGGUCAGUGGCCCGAGGCAACGGCGGAUCGGGCGUGGCGCUGCUGGCUGCUGCGUACCGCUUCGCGGGAAGCUGGGCCACGGUUGUGCGGGCGCCUGUUGGGCCGCGGUGCAGCGCUGCGUGCUGUGUUUUUUUUUCUCUUUAACGAAAACUACAGCAGUAAAUAACUAAAAUUAAAACAACACUAUAAAAACAAAAUAAAAAUACGUAGACACACAGUAAAAUCUAUACUGCUAAUAUAAACUACAGGAACACUAGUUCCUCACCUAAUGCAAUUUCAGAAAUUCAUUUUGAUGCAAAAGGCCACACAAACAGCAACAAAACAGUCAAAUAAAAUACUUUGGAGACUAACAAAAAUACCAGAACAUAACAGAUGAACUGAAAAUAAUAUUCUUGACAUUAUGAACAUUUUUAAACAGGAGAGAAGUCAUGUUAUCUCCACUCCAAUAAAUUGCCCUUAGUUGCAUAAUGAAAAGAAUAUUGCAGAAGAGCAAAUAAUGCAUGGAAAAUAUGAUAUGCAUAUGUAUGAUCUAAUAACAUCCUAAUUUAGGAAAAUUGGGAUGUUACACCAGGUCCGCGCUUGGCCGCGCCCACCCACCGCCGGAGCCGCGCCAGCCUGCGCUGGAGCGAGCCCGUCGAGCAGCACCCGACUGAGCACCAAGUCUGGCCGAGCCGAGCACGCCCAGCCACCACCGUCCCGCAGCAUCACCGCCUGGAGCAGCGGAGCAGCGCCGCCCCCGCUGUCGAGAACGGCGAUCGAGGGGUCCCGCCGCCGCCACGCUGCCAGGGCUUUGCCCGGCGACGCCUCCGGCGGCGGCGAGAAGAGAGGAAGGCGCAGGGGGGGCUGCUCGAGCCCGCAGGGGCGCCCCGGUGCGGCCCGGCGCGGCCGCACGGGAGCGGGACAGGAAGAGGGGGAGGGCCGGACUCGAACUCCUCCGCGGGAAGAGGGUUGGCGAAGACGGCGCCGGGCUUCGGGAUGGAUGGAGAGAGGACGCCGGGAGGGUCCCGGAUCUGUGCUUGGCUGGGCCUGAGGUGGCCGGAGGGAAGAGAUCAGCCGGCGGCGGCGGCGCCUGCACCUGCGCGAGCGCGAGCGCGAGCGCGAGACCUAGUUUCAGGAGCUUUGUAUUAUAUAAAAGGUAUUGUGGCCUACACAAAGGCUGUGCUGGUACUGUUGCUACUCUACUUGGCGUUAACAGGCAGAUAACCAUGCUGAAAGCCUGAAACGUAAUUGUGACAGUGGCAGUACAUCUUCUUACCUGAGUGGUGUUCUCCCGCUCCGCCGCGGUACCCACGCGUCGCCGGUGACCUCUGUCUCCCUCGUCAUCUCCGGAGGUCGCCGCACGCCGAUCUCCUCUGCUCCAGCUCCACGGUGGCGGGAGGGCGAGAGGAUGGCGGUGGACCGGAGGUGAAAGAAUUCCGGCCGUCCUAGCGCUUGG
This 2628-nucleotide long non-coding RNA is filed under the name Triticum aestivum (bread wheat). Its description in RNAcentral is "long non-coding RNA (TAES_LNC010457)". The record is from RNAcentral. Lineage: Eukaryota; Viridiplantae; Streptophyta; Magnoliopsida; Poales; Poaceae.